AGCGGCGGACGGGUGAGUAACGCGUUGGGAACGUGCCCUUCUCUAUGGAAUAGCCACUGGAAACGGUGAGUAAUACCAUAUACGCCCUUCGGGGGAAAGAUUUAUCGGAGAAGGAUCGGCCCGCGUUAGAUUAGGUAGUUGGUGGGGUAAUGGCCUACCAAGCCUACGAUCUAUAGCUGGUUUUAGAGGAUGAUCAGCCACACUGGGACUGAGACACGGCCCAGACUCCUACGGGAGGCAGCAGUGGGGAAUAUUGCACAAUGGGCGAAAGCCUGAUGCAGCCAUGCCGCGUGUGUGAAGAAGGCCUUCGGGUUGUAAAGCACUUUCAGUCAGGAGGAAAGGGUGUGAGUUAAUACCACACAUCUGUGACGUUACUGACAGAAGAAGCACCGGCUAACUCCGUGCCAGCAGCCGCGGUAAUACGGAGGGUGCGAGCGUUAAUCGGAAUUACUGGGCGUAAAGCGUACGCAGGCGGUUUGUUAAGCGAGAUGUGAAAGCCCCGGGCUCAACCUGGGAACUGCAUUUCGAACUGGCAAACUAGAGUGUGAUAGAGGGUGGUAGAAUUUCAGGUGUAGCGGUGAAAUGCGUAGAGAUCUGAAGGAAUACCGAUGGCGAAGGCAGCCACCUGGGUCAACACUGACGCUCAUGUACGAAAGCGUGGGGAGCAAACGGGAUUAGAUACCCUGGUAG
RNAcentral lists this ribosomal RNA (690 nucleotides) under uncultured Gammaproteobacteria bacterium. RNAcentral's name for it is "bacterial SSU rRNA". It matches the Rfam family "Bacterial small subunit ribosomal RNA", at positions 94 to 793 of the family's 1533-position model. The record is from RNAcentral. Lineage: Bacteria; Pseudomonadati; Pseudomonadota; Gammaproteobacteria.